This is a long non-coding RNA of Pteropus alecto (black flying fox), 592 nucleotides long. RefSeq lists it as uncharacterized. The transcript is spliced from 3 exons. Lineage: Eukaryota; Metazoa; Chordata; Mammalia; Chiroptera; Pteropodidae. The record is from RefSeq and is a predicted model, not a curated record.
UUUAUGGACUCUGCCUGGAGGAGGCCAAAGGAGUGGAGAGCCUGAGCUCCAUGACAGCUGAGCUGAGUUACAGAUGAGGAAACCGAGGUCCAGGAUGCUGAAGUGGCUCACCGGAAGUCUCACAGCUCUCGGGUGUCAGAGACUGCCUGCUUUCCCCAGCCCUAUGUUCCCUGGGAGUCACCUCUCCAGGGCGGACGGCCCAGAAGAGCUAUGGGGAUGCGCCUGGAGUCUUGUCCUCUGAGAGCUGCCUGGAGGAGGAGGAAUCCAGGCCUCUGUACCAGCAACUGCAGGCUACCAGUUCAAGCAGCAGCGAGCCCCUCAGCAACCUCGACCUCUCCCACGAGUCCCUGGUGGACUUGAAGUACCUGCCCUUCUUCCGCACCUAUGGGCAUCUCCUGUCUGAAGAAGAGUUGGCCCUGCAGCCGGAGAUUUGCAGGGACCAAAGAGGAGACUGGGGUGUCAGGGGGGCGCCGUUCCAGGAGGACUUAGAACCCCCCAGCGGGUUCUUCCCUUACUACCACUCUGAGGAGGAGAGUUUUCCCAGCCUUUUGUGUGGGGGCUCCCAAGACCCACCCGCCAAGAUGGAGGUACA